RNAcentral lists this ribosomal RNA (382 nucleotides) under Gymnophthalmus speciosus. Its description in RNAcentral is "partial 12S ribosomal RNA". It matches the Rfam family "Bacterial small subunit ribosomal RNA", at positions 842 to 1388 of the family's 1533-position model. Lineage: Eukaryota; Metazoa; Chordata; Lepidosauria; Squamata; Gymnophthalmidae. The record is from RNAcentral.
UGCCUGGGCGUUAACUCAGACACCAGUCCGCCAGAAAAUUACGGGCGAAAGCCUAAAACUCAAAAGACUUGACGGUGUCCUAAUCUACCUAGAGGAGCCUGUUCCAUAAUCGAUAACCCCCGAUAAACCCGACCCCCCUUUGAAAUCUCAGCCUAUAUACCGCCGUCGACAGCCCACCUUUCAAAAGAAUUAAAGUAGGCUAAAUAGAAUAACGCUCUAAAAAGUCAGGUCAAGGUGUAGCUAAUAGGGCGGAGACAAUGGGCUACAUUUUUUAAAAUAACAUACUCACGGACCAGUAUUUUGAAACUAGAACUAUAAAGGUGGAUUUAGCAGUAAGCUAAAAAAGAAUGCUUAGCUUAACAUAGCCCUAGGACACGUACAC